UGCCAAAUCUUAACCUAUUAAAACUGCAUAUACUAGUGCAUAUUCCACAAACAAUCAAAACAUGACCACUGAACCUCUUGAUCCCUCUCAAUGAUGUUGAUUUUUCAUAUUUUGCAAGGUCUCUAACCCUUUCUAACCUUCAUCUUAACCUCUAACCUAAUCUCCAAACUUAAUCUCCUAAUCUAACCCCAGAAUGUAUCGGCGUGGCGCUAACACUCCACCAUGGCAUGUCUGUCAAUUCUUUUAAAAAAUUCAUAUUAUUGAAUUAUGUUUAUAAUACUACGCAUCUAUAUAUAUAGCGACCUGAGAUUGAUAAAAAUUACAUGUGUAUAAUUAUUUUAGUUGAUUCUAAUUAAAAAGACUUAAAAAAUCACAAUCUGUUGGUGAUUAACCUAGUUAUUGUUGUUGUUAUUGGCUACUUUGGGCAUUCUGGUAGCGAGAACAUAAUAAGGAAAGGAAAGAAUAAACAGGUGAGAAAUGCGAGUGUUGAAACACACCAAGAUAGAGUUAUCCACGGGUCGCGUUAUCGAUGUCCCCCUUCAACCUCUGAUGUUUCUCUGCACAUGUGAUUUCGGCAGUUAUCCAGCUCUGUUUAAUGUAGUUUAUGAUGAAAGAUUUAAGAAAUUAUUAUAUAUUAUUAAGUGCGAGG
RNAcentral lists this small RNA (649 nucleotides) under Histoplasma capsulatum. Its description in RNAcentral is "hypothetical RNA". The record is from RNAcentral. RNAcentral also lists the same sequence under 1 other name. Lineage: Eukaryota; Fungi; Ascomycota; Eurotiomycetes; Onygenales; Ajellomycetaceae.